GCCACCUGCAAGGGAACGUGACACACUGCUGACAACACUUCCAAACAGCUGGGGACAUAGUUUAGCAAGAAUCAACAGACAAAGCAACCCUGAGCACCCAGUGGGAGAGCAACGCAUCUCUGGGCUAUCUCACUACAAUCCCAGAUCCCGAACAGCAAAGCUUGCUGACCAAAACCAACAGAAGCAGCUCUCCGCAUCUCCCACACCCCCACCCUGCUCUGCUCAUCAUAAAUUCAAGGCUGAACUUUUUACUGUAACACAGAAGUCAGAGGUUAAAAAAAAAUUAAAGGAUUCUCCAAUGACUCACAUUAUGUUAAACAGUGGAGACAGCUGACAUCUCAUCAUCACGACUCUUGUCAUGCCUUCAGCUCCUGGAAUAUGCUGCUGCCUUCUCAGAGUAGGUGGAAAAAGCAGGGACACUGCUCUAGCAAUGUCUUCUGAGAAAAUACCCUGGAUAAAGUAUGACCUAAUUGUGCCCCAAUACAGAACACAAGCACAGAACCAGGCCCAACAGCUGCUACAAAACUCUCCCUGCUGUCCCCCCACUUUUCACCUGAUGCAACAUGAAGAACACUCAUCUGCUCUGUACUCACCUUUCUGGAAACCAGCUGAACUGCAUCCUCUUCAAAUGCCUUCACACCCUUCAGUCUGGAUGAAACGAUUUGCUGUAACUGUUUGUAGGUGUAGGGCUGAAAGGACAUUCUGGUGAGGCCCUACAACAAAUGACACAACACAGUGAGAAGGGUUUGUGGGGCUGGAAAACUCUCAACUGCUGAAGCAUGGCCUGUGUGGUUACUUUUACUUUUUCUGGUAGGAGCAAUUAGUUUUUCACAUCCUUUCCCUCCGAGUGACACGCUUUAAUCAAUCACAUUUGUGAAACAAAUGUACAAACCCACAAAACUGUGACUCAGUGAGGACCACUGGUUGGAUUCCCCACUGAAAGGCCUGAGGAGCAAGUGAAAUUGAAACUGUUAUCAGAAUUCAGAGUUCUCUUAUAAAAACUUUUAAACAAAUGAGAGCUCCCCAAUACAAAAAUAUCUGGAUUACAUCUAUCUACAUGUUAUUUUUUUAAUACAAUAAGAGCAGCACCUGUGGAAAAAUAUUAAUGUCUCCUUUAGCUAAUCUGUAUAUGUGUGUGUUGACUUCAAGUUAGCCAUCAGCCAAGGAUUAAAACCCUCUUCUGGCUCAAGCCAAUAAGAACAGCCCUCAGAUGAGGACAAUCUAUGUUACAGAUGGUGCACUGCCUUUCAUCCUACAGGAGACCUGAGUUUUGAAUUUCUUAUGCAAAACUUCUCUUGUGACUGUAUGGACUCAGCUGAUCUGCAGUGGGCUUAGUGGGUGGGGGAAAGCAAUUCACACCCUGUGGAGCUGUUUUUGAGUCAUGGAAGGAUAGAGGCACAGAGCACUGUUUUUGCAAACCACUUUUCAGAGCCGUGGUGAGAUGACCUAGGAAAAUAUAUUCAAAACAAGUGGAGAGUGCAUCCAAUUUUCUUUGCUGGAUACCUUUGUAUAAUCUACCAACUGAUGAUGGCAAACAGAGAAGUAAGUAGGUGCCUGGAAUGAAAGGGGAAAGAGGAAGGGAAACCAGAAGAGAAUUCUUCUGAACUCCAGAAUAAGCAGCUUAACCAUGAAGCACAGCAUUUGAUUACCCAGAUCUUAGAAUAUUUUAAAAGGCAUCCAUAUAUUUAUUUAAUUCUUACAAGAACAUAGUGUACGUACACAGCAUAAUACCUGAUUAGCAAACAGGCUCCUGAACUUAGAUUUAUAUGCUCAUUAUCAGUCCUCUGGAAAGGGAAUUAUAAAAAACAUUGUUCAGCUUCUGAUAUAACCUAUCCUACUUUUCUCCUGGAUUGCUUUUGACUGCAUCCAGUAUUGAAUCUGUUCUCCUUUUAUGGCAUAGCAACAGAACUGCUAGAACAUACCAGCCUGCUUGCUACUCUGUUCAUCAUGAUUCUCUCUGGCAGGUCCAUGGUGUUGGCAAUGGCCAGGAUGAUGAGCUUGGAGUGCUUUUGGGUUGGCCAGUCAAAUAAAUUGUACAUCACGUUCUGCUUCCGGGUCCACAGCAGAUCAAGCUGCAGAGAUAAAAAGAUAAGAAUCAGACUGGAAAAAGGAAUGGCCUCUUAUUUAUAAUACCUGAUGGGAGUUUGAGAACCAGCUCUGCCACAGAAGAUUUCUCACAUGAUUCUGAAUAAGCUGUCCCUGUUGCCUUUCCUUUAUCCAUCUAAUAAUAGGACUGCAUUUGCUGAAUUAGGGCUCUAGUCUCUUUUGGAAAAGCACAGCCCUACUGGAUGCUUGAACAGUAAAUGUUAAACAGCUGGAGUUUUAAAACACUACUGUGAUACUAACAGUACGUCUAAUAAGAUUCAAAGACCCUCCAAGUGAGAACUUGAAUCAGCUUACAGCAAAAAUAAGAGUGCAUAUGAUUAUUACUGAACAUAGCACAUUAAAGGUUUUUCAAAAUUAGGUGUGACUUAUUUCUCUGUGAGUUUUCCCACUGGAAAAGCAGCAGCUUCCAGACAAAAUACAAUUGAAUCCCCUGGUAUUUAGAAUUGACAAACAACUUAUUGUGGAAUAACAAAAUAUACAACCAGUAUGAAACCCAAGGCAGAGAACAUGGCAACAGGAUACUCAGCCUUUUUAGGAAACUGAAUUUAAAUAGGUAAGAGGAACUAUUUGUGUCUCCUCUCUAAGUCUAUUCCUGUUACAUCACAUGUGAUACACUCAAAGCAUGCAUAAUUUUCCAUCCACCAAAAACUUACAAUCCUUUGAGGAAAGUAAACAAAGGAUUCUUUGUCUCACCUCAUCCACUACCAGCACUGUGGUCUUCCUCUUUGGUCCAGGUGUACUGAACAGCUUUGCCAGCAGUACUGCAGCAUGGUUUGCUGUCACCUUCUGACCUGUCAAGAACUGCACAAGGAUUGAAUAAACAUUGCAGGUUCAUCACACCAAACCCCUGGAAUUACCAAGUUUGACACCAUUCAAUUUUGUCUUUCCUUAAUAACCAACACCAACCACCUGGUGGUUAUUUUUUCCAAGGGGGAGUAAAAAAGAGGAGAAAGUAGCUCAUAAGACAUUCUGGUCUACCAAGAACUGCCCAUAAAGGAGAAGAGAAACAAACUAAAAAGAAAGGCCCACAGAAUUCUCUGCAAUAUCUCUUAGAAUCACAAAGAAAUCCUGAACCCACCCAGUCUAGAGGGCUCUAAACCCAGCAUAUCUCUAGGGUAUCUCUGAAUACACACACCUACUGAAAACCUAAGUCAGCUGAGAAGAAUAGCCUGACUUGAGUAAUCUUGGACUGCUAUUAAAAUUCUAAUGAAUCAUCAGCAGGAUCUAUAAUUAAAUUUAUUCAACUGUGAACUAAAAAAAUAUCUGCAAUACCUUUUGCAACUAUGUGGCAGAACAGAUCAGCUGACUGUAUAUUACCUCUUCCCUUGCAAGUCCAAAGAUACCCAGUAAUCAAAGCAUGACAUUUCAAAAUUACACUGCAGAUGCUGAAUCAAUUGUUCAUCAUAGUGCAAAGUCCAGCAAUAAAGCCAAAUGGAAACUGCAUUUGAAAACUGUACUUAUUUUCUAAAAUAUCUUGUAAAUCUAAGAUUUGAUAAUUGCUAAACAAGCCAGAGCACAAGAUUAAUGUAUAACCUGUUUAAUGUUUCCACUUCAGUCAGGACAGUGCAAAUCAGUCACAGAAAGGAGUUGAAUCCCAGAGAACCCUGAUCCUGCAGCUCUGGAGCUGAGUAUCCAACAUACCACAGAGCUGAGCUGCUGUGGUGGAAAUGAACUCUUACUCCACCCAGGUAUUUAGCCUUAUCUCUUUCAUCUGUCCAGGGCUUCCAGUGCCUUCACUUUCCUACAGCACUGAGGUAACUGCAGAAGGGAAGCUCCAGAAUUUGCUUCAGUCAUGCAAAGAAAGAAACAUCAGCAAACUGGAUCUCAACGUGCAGCAAUCAGGAGAGCAGCAGCAGCCUAGCUCUUAUGAAGGGUUCUUUGACAGUAGCUGAAGCAGAAGGAAUUGGAGAAGCACAUAGUUCAUGUGACUUUGUACUCCCCUAAAGGAUAUUUCACUAGGCUGCCUUAGAGUUCAGGACUAGUAGGGGGCAACAGAUUGUACUUCCAAAGGCCUAUUCUUUAUUCAUUUUUAGAUUUUAUGCUGAAUGGGACAAGAACAAAGGAUGUUAAAAUACAUUCACACUACCAUGAAAUAAGGUAAUUGUCAGGAAGCCUCUCACUAUACUAAAGAAACACAGAGGCCUGGCCUCAGCAAAUCCCUCAGCAAGACUCUGUCUAAGCUGGUUUGAGGAAAGGAUGCAAAUAUGCAAAUUUAACUCCCAGCUAUGAGGACUGGGACACUAGAGCACUAAUGUAUGCCACUCCCUGCUCAGAAAGAUGAUGUCAAACUUAAAUAAAUGGAGCAGAAGUUUAUACAAAAAUGGAACAGAUGCUUCAGGAAACCAUUUAGUUUCCAGGUCACUGGUUUAAAGUUAGCCUAGACUGAGAAAGCUUUUGAGCAGUUACUGUCUAAUUCCUAUUGGGUGAUCUUAAUCCAGUCCUCAGAAGAUUAAUUCCCACCCAUACAACACAAGCACAGUCAGUAGUCCCAGAUGGAUACUGCAGACUGGUUUGUCAUGGAUAUCAGAAAUACACUUUGUUGACAGUGAUGGCCUCUCUUUAGCUGAAUUACUAUUAUGACUGACCAAUUAAUCACAAAGACCCCCUCAGUAAUUAUUCUACUGUUACACUGACUUUCAGAGUGGUCAUCUUUGUAGCUGUUAAAGCAGAUGUGCAGGAAAAGUUACACUACAGGAAAAUAUAAAAAGCUGGUUUAGAUUUUUUUUAGAAGAGUAGAUGCAAUAAACCAAGCUAUUUCUCAGCAGCUACCCUUAUGCAGCAGAAAGCAAAACAAUGCAAGGUGUUGGCUAAGGCCUUAAGUUAAUUAUUUUCUAACCAGCUCUAAGAUAAAAGCACCCAGUCUCUUGGAGGGACUGGGAAGUACUGAUAAGUGCUUUGGACACUGUAACAUAUUAAGGAUGUGAUGGGAAAGUGUAACAUCUUUUCUUUCAAAGC
This is a long non-coding RNA of Passer domesticus (house sparrow), 5061 nucleotides long. RefSeq lists it as uncharacterized. The record is from RefSeq and is a predicted model, not a curated record. Lineage: Eukaryota; Metazoa; Chordata; Aves; Passeriformes; Passeridae. The transcript is spliced from 2 exons.